GUGAUUUCGCUCUGUGAUUCAGCUCAGUGAUUCAGCUCAGUUCAGAGGCUGGCCGCAUCUGGCUGUGCUCUGAUGUCCAUCGAUCCCAUCCUCGUCGCCAGUGUUAUGUUGUGGGUUGACAUAGCAGACGACACAGCGAUUUCUCCAAAGCAGCUCUUUAUUUUGUAAGCUGGAACAGAACUGAACAGCAAACAGCUCAGCCGGCCUGCUUUUAUAGGCAGCCGGCUGUCAACAUUGUAGCAACAACAACCCAGGGUUUCCCGCCUAAAGUAACUGACGUGGACCUGAGUGAAAACUAUCUACAGUAUCCCCCUGCUGGCUCAGGGUGAGAACUUCAGUACAUGACAGUAAGUUUAACGAAUAAUAAAAACUAUAAGUAAAAUGUGAGUCAAGUUGGAAUAUAACGUAGUUAGCAGCUGGAAAAGUAAGAAAGGUCUAAAAAAAAUAGAGGUUCAUCACUAGAAAGCAGAAAGUAGCAAGGAGAAAGCUGCCAAGGGACCCAGAAGCUGAACUGAAGGAUGCAAAUUGAUAAAUAUUAGCUUGAUAAGGGGAAUGGUUUAGAAUAGCUACAGCUGGAUGUAUUCUCUGUUUAAUUUUAUAAUGAAUAACUUCUCAAACUAUGAAAUUAGUCUGCUCCCCAUUUUAAAAAUCAUUUUAUCAAAAGCUGCUGAAAUUCUUCCCUUACUAAAACUUUUAAAGAACAGCAUAGUUUUCUUUUUUUAAAAAAACUGUGAGGCCUUAUAAUCCCCAAGUGCCAUAUUAUGCUAUCCAGUAUAGGGGUUGUGUUGUGCCAGCUAAAAUCUGAAAGAUUAGAUGGUUGUUUAGUGCAGGUGGCCAGAGAAAAAGAAAACAUCCACUUGGUGGCAGCGGUGAGAAGAGGGAAAAGGAGGGUUCCCAUGACUCCUUUCCCACCUGCAGCCUUGGCUCUCAGUCACAAAACAGUAAGAAGAAAAAAGUUUUGUUAUGUGUACGAAGGGGAGGGAGUUGUUGGGUCAAUUUAGUCAUAUCGAUUUGUAUGCUUCCAGUGUGUGUGUGCGUGUUAUGUUGUUGUCUUGUUCCCUCUUUCCCCCAGAAUACACUUAGAGCAUCAUCAUUGAUUGUUGUUGUUUAGUCGUUUAGUCGUGUCCGAUUCUUCGUGACCCCAUGGACCAGAGCACGCCAGGCACUCCUGUCUUCCACUGCCUCCCGCAGUUUGGUCAAACUCAUGCUGGUAGCUUCGAGAACACUGUCCAACCAUCUUGUCCUCUGUCGUCCCCUUCUCCUUGUGCCCUCAAUCUUUCCCAACAUCAGGGUCUUUUCCAGGGAGUCUUCUCUUCUUAUGAGGUGGCCAAAAUAUUGGAGCCUCAGCUUCAGGAUCUGUCCUUCCAGUGAGCACACAGGGCUGAUUUCCUUCAGAAUGGAUGGGUUUGAUCUUCAUGCAGUUCAUGGGACUCUCAAGAGUCUCCUCCAGCACCAUAAUUCAAAAGCAUCAAUUCUUCGGCGAUCAGCCUUCUUUAUGGUCCAGCUCUCAUUUCCAUACAUCACUAGUGGGAAAACCAUAGCAUCAUUGAUACAUCAUCACUACAUCACUGGCAUGUCACAAAAGGGGAGGGGUACACAAGGGUUGCACAAGUUCAACAUCAGGUCACUUGAUCAGACACCUUUCCCAAUGCCUUUUAAGUACCCAUCACCGAAAGAACAAUUAAACUCUUGACAUCUCCUUGCCCUCAGGACUUGUCUGGAGAUGGGCUUUCAGAACACCUGACUUGCUCAACUGCCUCUGUGGAUGUCUAUUGUUGCCCCACUGGUAACUCCCUGGGUGGGGUGCUAUGUAUGUGCUCUCAUGCUUGGGGAAUUACGGUGGGAUGCCCUGUUCCUGCUGCCCACGUGACUUCAUGCUUCUUGGUUCAUGGAGGGAGGUGGAAAUUCACCUUUCUUUAAGGGUUAAAAUGGCGUUGAAAUGAGGAGAGUCAGUUAAAGUUUGGAUUUUCUAUGAAUUUAUAAAGUUAGGUAUCUUCCCUAAGCUGUCAAGUCGAAAGGAUAUAUUCAGGCAUAAUCAUAAUAUUUGUGACAUUGUAACAACUUUAAAGAUGUUCGUCCCCCAUGUCAUUCCCAUAACAACCCCAUCUUUGUUGUUGUUGUUUAGUCGUUUAAUCGUGUCCGACUCUUCGUGACGCCAGGGACCAGAACACGCCAGGCACUCCUGUCUUCCACUGCCUCCCGCAUUUGGUCAAACUCAUUUUAGUAGCUUCGAAAACACUGUCCAAACAUCUCAUCCUCUGUGUUCCCCUUCUCCUUGUGCCCUCCAUCUUUCCCAACAUCAGGGUCUUUUCCAGGGAGUCUUCUCUUCUCAUGAGGUGGCCAAAGUAUUGGAGCCUCAGCUUCAGGAUCUGUCCUUCUAGUGAGCACUCAGGGCUGAUUUCCUUCAGAAUGGAUAGGUUUGAUCUUCUUGCAGUCCAUGGGACUCUCAAGAGUCUCCUCCAGCACCAUAAUUCAAAAGCAUCAAUUCUUCGG
This is a non-coding RNA of Podarcis lilfordi (Lilford's wall lizard), 2493 nucleotides long. The record is from the annotation of a GenBank genome assembly. Lineage: Eukaryota; Metazoa; Chordata; Lepidosauria; Squamata; Lacertidae.